UUGGAGGGCAAGUCUGGUGCCAGCAGCCGCGGUAAUUCCAGCUCCAAUAGCGUAUAUUAAAGUUGUUGCAGUUAAAAAGCUCGUAGUUGAGUUUCGGGAUCAAUACGUCGGUCGUGCUUUUUUGGUACGCACUGGCGUCAUUGGUUUCUCCUUUCUGACGAACCAUGAUGUCAUUAAUUUGGUGUUAUGGGGAGUUAGGACUGUUACUUUGAAAAAAUUAGAGUGUUUAAAGCAGGCAUUAGCUUGAAUACAUUAGCAUGGAAUAAUGAAAUAGGACGUUCGAUCCUAUUUUGUUGGUUUCUAGGAUCAACGUAAUGAUUAAUAGGGAUAGUUGGGGGCAUUAGUAUUCAAUUGUCAGAGGUGAAAUUCUUGGAUUUAUUGAAGACUAACUACUGCGAAAGCAUUUGCCAAGGAUGUUUUCAUUAAUCAAGAACGAAAGUUAGGGGAUCGAAGACGAUCAGAUACCGUCGUAGUCUUAACCAUAAACUAUGCCGACUAGGGAUCGGAUGAUGUUAAUUUUUUAAUGACUCAUUCGGCGCCUUACGGGAAAC
Molecule: ribosomal RNA, 551 nt
Filed under: uncultured Glomeromycotina
Lineage: Eukaryota; Fungi; Glomeromycota
Description: SSU rRNA
Rfam family: Eukaryotic small subunit ribosomal RNA
Source: RNAcentral